GAUUAAGCCAUGCAGGUCUAAGUACAGGCCCUAUACGGCGAAACUGCGAAUGGCUCAUUAAAUCAGUUAUGGUUCCUUAGACAUACCACAUCCACUUGGACAACUGUGGAAAAUCUAGAGCUAAUACAUGCGACAAAGCUCCGACCUCCGGGGAAGAGCGCAUUUGUUAGUACAAAACCAACCCGGGUUCGCGCCCGGCCAUCUUGGUGACUCUGAACAACCUUGGGCUGAUCGCACGGCCUCGCGCCGGCGACGCAUCUUUCAAAUGUCUGCCCUAUCAACUGUCGAUGGUACGUGCUAUGCGUACCAUGGUUCUCACGGGUAACGGGGAAUCAGGGUUCGAUUCCGGAGAGGGAGCCUGAGAAACGGCUACCACAUCCAAGGAAG
This 387-nucleotide ribosomal RNA is filed under the name Abra alba. Its description in RNAcentral is "SSU rRNA". It matches the Rfam family "Eukaryotic small subunit ribosomal RNA", at positions 42 to 424 of the family's 1831-position model. Lineage: Eukaryota; Metazoa; Mollusca; Bivalvia; Cardiida; Semelidae. The record is from RNAcentral.